Molecule: ribosomal RNA, 101 nt
Filed under: Notechis scutatus (mainland tiger snake)
Lineage: Eukaryota; Metazoa; Chordata; Lepidosauria; Squamata; Elapidae
Source: RNAcentral
AGCAACAGCAGCAGUUUUUUGUGACCUCAAAAAGCUAAGCAGAAACACAUUUAGUUAGUAUUUGGAUAGGGGACCACCACGAAGUAGCAGGGCUGUAGGCU